RNAcentral lists this transfer RNA (68 nucleotides) under Ptilomera tigrina. RNAcentral describes it as "tRNA-Trp". Lineage: Eukaryota; Metazoa; Arthropoda; Insecta; Hemiptera; Gerridae. The record is from RNAcentral.
AAACCCUUAAGUUAAAUAAACUAUUAACCUUCAAAGUUAAAAAUAUAAAUAUAAUUUUAUAGGUUUUA